GGGGAGAUAGCUCAGCAGUAGAGCACAGGCCUUGCAUGCCUGUGGCCCCGGGUUCAAUCUCGAGUCAACGUA
This 72-nucleotide transfer RNA is filed under the name Erinaceus europaeus (western European hedgehog). It matches the Rfam family "tRNA". Rfam says of the family: Transfer RNA (tRNA) molecules are approximately 80 nucleotides in length. Their secondary structure includes four short double-helical elements and three loops (D, anti-codon, and T loops). The record is from Rfam by way of RNAcentral. Lineage: Eukaryota; Metazoa; Chordata; Mammalia; Eulipotyphla; Erinaceidae.